This 710-nucleotide ribosomal RNA is filed under the name Rhizobium sp. LR12. RNAcentral describes it as "bacterial SSU rRNA". It matches the Rfam family "Bacterial small subunit ribosomal RNA", at positions 93 to 840 of the family's 1533-position model. Lineage: Bacteria; Pseudomonadati; Pseudomonadota; Alphaproteobacteria; Hyphomicrobiales; Rhizobiaceae. The record is from RNAcentral.
GAGUGGCAGACGGGUGAGUAACGCGUGGUUAUAUACCCUUCCCUGCGGAAUAGCUCCGGGAAACUGGAAUUAAUACCGCAUACGCCCUACGGGGGAAAGAUUUAUCGGGGAAGGAUGGGCCCGCGUUGGAUUAGCUAGUUGGUGGGGUAAAGGCCUACCAAGGCGACGAUCCAUAGCUGGUCUGAGAGGAUGAUCAGCCACAUUGGGACUGAGACACGGCCCAAACUCCUACGGGAGGCAGCAGUGGGGAAUAUUGGACAAUGGGCGCAAGCCUGAUCCAGCCAUGCCGCGUGAGUGAUGAAGGCCUUAGGGUUGUAAAGCUCUUUCACCGGAGAAGAUAAUGACGGUAUCCGGAGAAGAAGCCCCGGCUAACUUCGUGCCAGCAGCCGCGGUAAUACGAAGGGGGCUAGCGUUGUUCGGAAUUACUGGGCGUAAAGCGCACGUAGGCGGAUAUUUAAGUCAGGGGUGAAAUCCCAGAGCUCAACUCUGGAACUGCCUUUUAUACUGGUAUCUGGAGUAUGGAAGAGUUAAGUGUAAUUCCGAGUGUAGAGGUGACAUUCGUAGAUAUUCGGAGGAACACCAGUGGCGAAGGCGGCUUACUUGUCCCCUACUGACGCUGAGGUGCGAAACCGUGGGGAGCAAACAGGAUUAGAUACCCUGGUAGUCCACGCCGUAUACGAUGAAUGUAGCCGUUCGGGCAGUAUACUGUU